CGGAGAUAGCUGGUUCUCCUCGAAAUAGCUUUAGGGCUAGCCUCAUACGAGUCUUGCGGAGGUAGAGCACUGAAUUCUUAAGGGGGCGUCAAAGCUUACUAAGAGAUAUCAAACUCCGAAUGCCGCGUAGAUGAUGUAUGGGAGUCAGACUGCACGAGAUAAGUUGGGUAGUCAAAAGGGAAAGAGCCCAGACCUACAGCUAAGGUCCCAAAAUGUGUGUUAAGUGGAAAAGGAUGUGGGAUUUCGAAGACAACUAGGAUGUUGGCUCAGAAGCAGCCAUCCAUUAAAAGAGUGCGUAAUAGCUCACUAGUCGAGAGGUCCUGCGCCGAAAAUGUCCGGGGCUGAAACACACUACCGAAGCUUAGGAAUUAACGAAUGUUAAUUGGUAGAGGAGCAUUCUUAAAGAGACGAAGCUGUACCGAAAGGAGCAGUGGAUUUUUAAGAAGAGAGAAUGCCGGAAUGAGUAGCGAGAGGAAGGUGAGAAUCCUUCCGGCCGAAUAUCUAAGGUUUCCAGCGUAAAGCUGAUCUGCGCUGGGUAAGUCGGGGCCUAAGGCGAGGUCGAAAGACGUAGUCGAUGGAUAACAGGUUGAAAUUCCUGUACUAUGAUAUAACAGAACUGUGGGGACGCAGGGAGAGAGCGCGAGCCGGGAACGGAAAGCCCGGCGCAAGCGAGGUACCGGUCUGUCAGGAAAAUCCGGCAGACAACGGGAAGACGUGAUGCGGACCGAAAAAGAGUAGGGAAGAGCGUGAGCUAACUGCCAAGAAAAGCCGCUAUUGUUUAUAUCAUACCCGUACCGUAAACCGACACAGGUGGAUGAGGAGAGAAUCCUAAGGCCGACGGGAGAAGCAUUGUUAAGGAACUCGGCAAAAUGACUCCGUAACUUCGGGAGAAGGAGUGCCAUGCGAAUGGCCGCAGAGAAUUGGCCCAAGCAACUGUUUAGCAAAAACACAGGUCUAUGCAAAACCGAAAGGUGAGGUAUAUGGGCUGACGCCUGCCCGGUGCUGGAAGGUUAAGGGGAGAGGUUAGCGCAAGCGAAGCUUUGAACUUAAGCCCCAGUAAACGGCGGCCGUAACUAUAACGGUCCUAAGGUAGCGAAAUUCCUUGUCGGGUAAGUUCCGACCCGCACGAAAGGCGUAAUGAUUUGGGCACUGUCUCAACAAUGCACCCGGUGAAAUUGAAAUACCAGUGAAGAUGCUGGUUACCUGCGCCAGGACGGAAAGACCCCAUGGAGCUUUACUCCAGCUUGAUACUGGGAUUCGAUAUUGCAUGUACAGGAUAGGUGGGAGACUAGGAGACGGUAACGCCAGUUGCCGUGGAGUCGAUGUUGGGAUACCACCCUUGCAGUAUUGGGUUUCUAACCAGCAGCCGUGAUCCGGCUGGGGGACAAUGUCAGGUGGGGAGUUUGACUGGGGCGGUCGCCUCCGAAAGGGUAUCGGAGGCGCUCAAAGGUUCCCUCAGAAUGGUUGGAAACCAUUCGAAGAGUGCAAAGGCAGAAGGGAGCUUGACUGCGACACCGACGGGUGGAGCAGGUACGAAAGUAGGACUUAGUGAUCCGGUGGUAUAAAGUGGGAUUGCCAUCGCUCAACGGAUAAAAGCUACCCUGGGGAUAACAGGCUUAUCACUCCCAAGAGUUCACAUCGACGGAGUGGUUUGGCACCUCGAUGUCGGCUCAUCGCAUCCUGGGGCUGAAGUAGGUCCCAAGGGUUGGGCUGUUCGCCCAUUAAAGCGGUACGCGAGCUGGGUUCAGAACGUCGUGAGACAGUUCGGUCCCUAUCCGGCGUGGGCGUAGGAUAUUUGAGAGGAGCUGUCCUUAGUACGAGAGGACCGGGAUGGACUGGCCGCUGGUGUACCUGUUGCAUCGCCAGAUGCAUGGCAGGGUAGCCAAGCCGGGAAGGGAUAAACGCUGAAGGCAUCUAAGCGUGAAGCCCCCCUCAAGAUAAGAUAUCCCAUAACGUCAAGUUAGUAAGACCCCUUGAAGACGACGAGGUAGAUAGGGCAGAGGUGGAAGUGUGGUAACACAUGGAGCUGACUGUUACUAAUAGGUCGAGGGCAUAACCAG
RNAcentral lists this ribosomal RNA (2060 nucleotides) under human gut metagenome. RNAcentral's name for it is "bacterial LSU rRNA". It matches the Rfam family "Bacterial large subunit ribosomal RNA", at positions 840 to 2925 of the family's 2925-position model. The record is from RNAcentral.